Mercenaria mercenaria is the source of this 5076-nucleotide RNA transcript. It is a transcript of the gene named A disintegrin and metalloproteinase with thrombospondin motifs 5-like, with no coding region annotated. Lineage: Eukaryota; Metazoa; Mollusca; Bivalvia; Venerida; Veneridae. The transcript has 5 exons. The record is from RefSeq and is a predicted model, not a curated record.
AGUAACAUCAGCAUAAAAAGAUACAUUUAUCAUUUAUUUAUUUCUGUGUCUUUCAUUUACAAAAUACCUGUUUAUGUACAUAUACAUGAAAGCAUUAAAAACGUAAUAUGUAAAUGGCCAUUAGAAUUUUAUGAGACAUAUAAAACGGUAAAAAUUACAAUACAGAUACAUCAAAAGCAACCAGAUUACUGAAAAAAGUAUAGACUUGUGUAUGUGCGUGCGUGUGCAUGACAUUAUUGAAAAUAGCAGUUAUGUAAACACGUUAAUUUUGUUAGAAUGUAAUAAUAUCUAAAACUAUAAUAUAGCUAUUAAUAGUACAAGUGUAUAAGUAGCACAGAGGCAGAAGUGGUCGUAAUAAUAACAAGUUUUGUUUUGUUUUGGGUUUAACGCCGUUUUUCAACAGUAUUUCAGUCAUGUAACGGCGGACAGUUAACCUAACCAGUGUUCCUGGAUUCUGUACCUGUACAAACCUGUUCUCCGCAAGUAACUGCCAACUUCCCCACAUGACUCAGAGGUGGAGGACUAAUGAUUUCAGACGCAAUGUCGUUUAUCAAAUAGUCACGGAGAACAUACGCGCUGCCCGAGGACCGAACUCACGACCCCGCGAUCCGUAGACAAACGCUCUACCUACUGAGCUAAGCAGGCGGGCUUAAUAAUAACAAUAACAGUAAUGAUAAUUUAUACCCCAAAAUCAAGUGAUGAUUUAAAAAAAUGCAUUUAGAAAAUCGUUAGUGAAUAAGGUAAAAAUAUUUCCAUUUAACAACAAUCUCCUUGUAAAUAGAUAACAUUUAGGAUUUCACACUUUGAUAUGUGACUAACAUAUUUUGUUUGUCAAUGAUUUCAAAUAAUCUUCUUAUAUUUUUUAUUACAUCUUAAGACUUGUUGAUUCGUUCAUUGUAACUGCCUCGGUAGCCUAGCGGUAGAGCGUCCGCUUUGAGUGCAGGAUGUCAUGGGUUUGAUCCCCGGCCGAGUCAUACCAAAGACGUAAAAAAUGUUACAAGUAGCUUCCUCGCUUGGCGCCAAGCAUUAAGAGGAUAGUGCCAGGAAUGGCCAGCCCGGUGUAAGUUUAAUGUGACUGGGUGGGGUAUCAUGUCACGUGUCUACGGCGUGAUAUUCCAAUGAGGCAGCACUAUAAAGUUGGGCAUUGUGCUCGUUUAUAUGACUAAACGAUUGUUGAAAAGGACGUGAACCCAACCCCCCCACCCCGCCACAAACACUUAUUAAAUUGUACAAUAAUUUUAUUUCAGCAUCAAAUUGCACGGAUAACAAGAAUAUGGACUGCGAAACAUUAGACAAACUGAUUGAUAUAUGCGACGACAUACAUGAUGCAAAGACUGUUUGCAGGAACUUCUGUAAUUUAUGCUCAUUAGUUGAUGGAAAUUGGGCUGAAUGGUCCCCCUGGUCAGUUUGUGACGUCACAUGUGGACAAGGAAAAUAUACAAGAAUCAGAACGUGUACUGAUCCUGCACCAGCGAACCAUAUUGGAUUGUGAAGGAAAUGCUACCGAUACAAAACCUUGUAUGAAGCCACUUUGUCCAGUACAUGGCGGAUGGUCAGAUUGGUCCAACUGGGGAUCGUGCCCGAUUACUUGUGGAAUAGGAAUACAGAAACGUUUCAGAAACUGUUCUAAUCCCUACCCUUUAAGAUAUGGGGAACAUUGUUUCGGAAACACGAUAGAUAUGAGGAUUUGUAUCAGAAAAACAUGCGACGACGGCGGAUGGACACAUUGGGGCAACUGGUCUACUUGUAGUCUCACCUGUGGCGGAGGAAUGCAGUCAAGAUCAAGGACAUGCACGAGACCACGGCCAUCUGUUUUUGGUCACAACUGUAUUGGCAAUCCUCGUGAGACGCAAACAUGCAACAGAAAAGAUGCCCUCCCAUCGUGUCUGCAUUUUCUGUAGACAAACCUAACACCUACAGCAAAUUCAACGGCAUAGAUAAACUGACAUUCUCUCAUUUCAUUUACCAGCAAGGUGGCGAUUUCAGUUUGGCAACGGGAACUUUCGAGUGCUCUAAGCCUGGAGUCUACCAUUUCAUAGUCACUUUAGUAAAGAAACGAUCAAGCACACGUGUCGACCAAGUAAGCUGUAACAUGUACAAGGAUAGGUCUCAAGUUAUUCAUAUUCAGGUCGAUCCAACCGAUGACGACACAGAUAAGGGAAGUGCUGCUAUAACGGAAUCUGCUAUUAUCCACUUGAACAAGGGAGACACAGUAUACUUGUCUGGUUGCAAUGGUCCGCCGAGUACAUAUAUGGAAAGCUGGACCUCAUUUACUGGAUUCCUCUUGUAUCCGGACAGUUAAAUGCACAUACAUUUUAUACUAUGAAAUAGACAAUACUGCGGUGACAAAAGCACACCAUUAUAUAAUUCUGUGUUUAUAUGAUCAUAACCUAUAUACAUGUAUUUGGAUUAAUCCAUUGACUAAAACUAAUACUGAAAUCAACUUACAUGUUGUGUUUCAGACUUAAGUGUCAGCGUCAGUGGCAAGAGACCAGAAUAAAAGCAAAUGUACAUGUUAAUGUUCUACCCCUAGGUAUACUAUAAGAACUAUGUUCAUAAAUGGGUAAAUAUCCUAACCCAAUUUAAUCGCAUAUUUCUCACCUAAAACACACAGUUCAGUAAUUCUGUGCUAUGGAUAAUUAGCAAGCGGUAAUUAAUCUUCUAUUGUGUACCGGUCACAUUCCUUCAAUGUUUCUUAUCACUUAGAAACAACGCAAAGUUUAUAGUUUUUAUCAACGUUACAAAAAAAAUUGCAUCAUUUUCGUAAGAAUUAAUUUCCUAUUACUGCUUGAGCCGUAUUUUUAAGGAGGAACCAUAAUAUAACUCUUUUUAAGAGCACAAUUAUUGACUGGAACCAACAAGAUUUAGAGGGUAUUUUUGAUCAAGAUAUGCGUAUAUUUUUACGCUUAAUACAUCAUUGACAUUUCCAUGACCGUUUAGCGCACUUUUGACGUCAGAUACACGAAGACAAAAUUUGGCUUAAAAUUAUCGUACCGGCAAAAUUUGUUAACAUAUACCAUAAAUUAUACAUAAAAUGAAAGAUGACAUGAUUACCCAGACGAUGACUUAAUCGGAAUUACUCUAUGUCUAUGUUUUCGCUUGAAAAACUGAGAGCAAAAAAAAAUGUAGCUGCACUCAGCAUUAAAAAAAAUAUCCAUCAUUUUUACUUUAUAAUUUGUUGAAUAUGUUGAACGCUGAUACGUCUCGUAAGUAUAUAGUAAAAUUAGAAAUUUUAACCGUGACGUUUUGUGGCCGUAACAACUUUUUUAGCAUUGCUACAGUAACAUUUUUUCGAAGAUGAAAAAAUGACAUGAAUGUGAAUAUAUGAGCCUUGAAAUUAGGCAAAAAAAAAAUGUUUUCUCCUUGUACCAUCCUUAAAAUAUAGGGUAGAUAGCCAAGAUGCCGCCAGGUUUUAUUUACACAGUUUUAAUCAAUUGUAAAAGAGUUUUGUUUAUUAGCUGAACGGCAAUGGCACAUGUAUGCGCGUUUUUUAUAUUUCAUACUUGCAUGUUUGUUCGACGUUACCGUUUCGAAUUGUUUUUUUUUUUGAAGAAUUGACAAGUUAUGUAACGUUCAAAUAAAUGUGCAAUUACAUUAGUUAUCCCUUUAUUAAGUAAUUGUGAUAUUAUUUAUGGAAUAUGUAAUCACACAGACGGCCACACUAUAAAUAGUUAACAUACUGACAGAUCCGAAUAUCUACCGUUCAGACUUGAAAUACAGAAAUAUUAAGAUUCUGUGAAGAUAAGAAUUAUUUUCACAUCAGCGGAAACAUCAGUGCAAUUUUCCUUUCAGUGAUCUCAUUAUCUGCAUUGUCAUAUUCGAAGUUCGGCAAGGUGAUAAACAUGUAUUAUUUGAAACUCUUCUUAUCGUUAAAACAUUUUCUGCAAAAGAGGUUAUAGACCUGGGGCCGUAUUCAUAAAGCAUCUUAAGUAUAAGUUUUGACUUAAGUUUAAGAUUUUACUUAGGUUUGUGGUGAUUUCAACUUAAGUCUAAGUAAAAACUUAAGUUCUAGUCAUAAAACAGCUAAAACUAUUAAAGUGUUGUUCCCAGAUAAAAGCAUUUUAAACAUAAUUGUGCAUGUUGUAUCUGUCUGAAAUUAAUGUUGUUUUUUUAAUGUUUUCGUCCACAAUAAAAAACAAGAAUUACUUAUUAAAUUGUUUUAUGAAUAACAAAUAUACUUAAGUAAAAUAAAUUUCUAACCUAAGUAAUACUUAAGUAAAUAAUCAAUUUCUUAUACUUAUACUUAAGAUGCUUUAUGAAUACGGCCCCUGCACUUAUUUCAAAACGCAAAUAGUUAAAUACUUUAAAUACUUUGUAUAAAGCGUACCAAAUUUAUGUAGUACUUUUACAGAAAUGACCGAAUUUGUCUAUAAUAGCAUGAAAUAUUACAUGUAUGUUCAGAGCUAAUUGGCCGAUCGCGAUCACGUGCUUGUUGUGCUAAAAAGACAUUUAGACUCAGAUAAUAACGCGUAGGCCCGCACGGAUUACUCGAUGCAUAUAUUAGGAUUUUUAUCGCAUCUUUAUACUAGGUAUACAAUCUAUAACUGUAUAGUACUAGUAGUUACUGAGUUAAUAUAUAGUUUUGCGGAUGCCAUCGAUUGCAGAAUCGCUCAUUCUGCAAGAAGUCAUUUCAUGUCUCCAGUCGCACUGAUUGUGCAUAACGAUAAAUCUUUCUCCAUUUUACUGACGCAUGCACAGGAUUUCCUUGCACUUUCUUCUAUUACCGGACCGACGUCUCUCUCCUUUUUUGAGCAUUCUUGCAUUCAUUUGCGACAGACCGAUAGUGGCUAAUACUACAGUCGUGUGUGAAAUGAGAUGAAAUUGUGAAAUAUAAGGUUACUUUUAUUCCACUUUUACAGUCACAGAAAGUGAUCUUAUUUCAUGCAUGCGCUGUCUGCAUUGCCUUGCAGUGCCGCAGCUCCUAAAAUGUCAAAGCUAUUUUGUCACUUUUACAAUUCUGCAGAUACAUUUUGGUCCGAACAAUGUUUCCAUUAUAAUGUGAACUGGGCCAAAAGAAAUCCUUGUAUUCUGAUUAUAUCACGGCAUCAGUUUUACUUAAUUAUAUUAUAACAUUAC